UGUGAAGAGCCGACUAGGAGGCCAUGGGGCAUAGCAGGCUGCGGCAGCACACUGAUUUUACAGGAGGAGUCGCACACGGGGAUCCAGGGAUAACCAUUGUCAUUCCCCAUUGACGCAUGCACAGCCCAAUGUCCAUUUACGUGCAGUACGCUGACCGGGUUCAAACCCGUACUGAAGCUGGUUAUGAGGACAUUCCUGCCACUGUGCAUCAAGCUAUAAAGCAUUCCUUAUGUGGACAUUUUGUUGGUGAUCUUCAAACCGGACAGUAUUGAACCACUAUACACUUGCAACUGAGAGACGAGAUUGGGGGAGGGGGACGAUGAUGACAACUAACACAGAUGAGCGCAUCCGUGGCCAAAGACCAAAGUGCACACCUGCACUGAGCCAUUGAAUCUUCAGCCAAGUCUCAUCCCAUAUCCAAGGAGCAGGAGAAGAAGAAGCAAAGGUGGAAAGAGAGCUCAGCUUUCCCAGCAAGAUCUGCAAAGUCAAACAGUAUACCUCCCACAUGGGUGUGCCACAAGGCCAUGCCGCUCCCUAUGAGGCCAUGCCCUCAGUUUUGAUAUGCAAAAUUAUGUGAGGUAUGAAACAAUGAGCUCAGUCCUCCUGAAGUUUGGUUAUGCUCUGCAUUCAGUGCCAACACUUCAGGGAUGACCAUUCUACAGAUCAAACACACAGGAUAAAGCACAGUGGUUUUUGAGGGCAGGA
This is a long non-coding RNA of Pseudophryne corroboree (corroboree frog), 705 nucleotides long. RefSeq lists it as uncharacterized. Lineage: Eukaryota; Metazoa; Chordata; Amphibia; Anura; Myobatrachidae. The record is from RefSeq and is a predicted model, not a curated record. The transcript is spliced from 5 exons.